RNAcentral lists this long non-coding RNA (1402 nucleotides) under Helianthus annuus (common sunflower). RNAcentral's name for it is "hypothetical non coding rna". Lineage: Eukaryota; Viridiplantae; Streptophyta; Magnoliopsida; Asterales; Asteraceae. The record is from RNAcentral.
UCUUGCCCAACAGGCAUCCUUGCUGUGUCCCUCUUUUCCACAUCUGUCACACUUAGGUCUCAGGCAUCGACCUUCAUGGUGAAACUUGCGUUCAUCACAUCUCGGCUUAGUCCCCAGAUAAACCUUUCCACUGGCCUUAUUGGUGGCUCCAUAAGCUUUCAUGCCACGCGGCGGAUUUGAAAACUUUCUUUUGUUUUUGCCUGAAGACUCCACGUGAGUCUCUUUCUUGUUUGUCUCAGAUUUCGAAAACUUUCCCAUACGAAGAGCUUCUUCAGUAAGUGUAACGCUCAAAUCGAUAGCCUCUACGAUGGUUGGAGGCUUUGAGGCAGUAACCAUGCUCAGGAUUUGAGGCGCAAGUCCCCAAAUAAACCUUUCGAUUCUCUUGAAUUCCGGCUCGACAAGAUAAGGAACGACCCUUGAUAAAUCAUGAAAACGCUGAAUAUACUCGGCAACCUUUGGUCCAUCCAUCUUCAGAUUCCAGAACUCAGUUUCCAGUUUCUGGAUUUCAGCUCUUGAACAGUAUUUCUUGCGCAUUAAUUCCUUAAGCUCAUCCCAACUGAGCGUAUAUGCAGCAGUUUCGCCAAGAGUUUGAACUUGGAGGUUCCACCAGGAGAGUGCACCAUCCAAAAACAGCCCCGAAAUAUAAGUGACUCUCUGUUCAGGUGCACAUUUGCUCAUUCUUAGCACGGAAUCGGUCUUUUCAACCCAGCGAACAAAAGCGACGGCACCUCCCGUGCCAUCAAAGUUUAGGGGUUUGCAAUCUAGAAAUUGCUUAUAAGUACAGCCUGUAACACAUGUAACGCAAUUCACGAAUGAGCAUUGGCAGAACACAAUUGGAAAUAUCCAAAAGAUUUGUAACGUGUCUUAGGUGAUUUAACAUUACCAGUUGGAGGGUUAUUUCCGAAAGUGCCACCGUUGUGUUCUGAGCGGUUGGCCUCGUGCUGUGCAAUUGCCUGUGAUAUGCGUUCCUGAAGCUCGGCUUGUGUCCUUGGUAACGUGUUAGUGUAUGUGUCACGUCUGGGCGGCAUUUUCUUCUAGCAAGAAGUUUUAGGCAGGUUAGAGAACAUUCACCAAAUAAUUAUCUGUGGGGUAUAUAUGUAUAUAGACAAUCAUCACCACAAGCAAACAUGUAAUCAUCUAACAUCACAUGCAUAUAUUAUCAAAAGGUAUAAAUAAGAAAACAACCACUGAGCUUCCAUAUAUGUUCGACAACUUGAUACAUUGUUUUUAACAGAUGAAAAACAAAAUGGACUCGAGGUUACAUCACAUCGGUCAUAGAAGUUCCAUAAUACGAAAGUAGUAGUUAUUUUCCUUCUACAUUGGUCCUCUUAGGUCUUUAGUUUUUUUUUUUUUUUUUUACAAAAUGGGCAUACUUCCCAAAAAGUGGGGGGGGGGGGUUUGU